CAUCGCCGCGGGAAUACGAGGGGGGCAAGCGUUGUUCGGAAUUAUUGGGCGUAAAGGGUGCGUAGGCGGCUUGACAAGUCUUGUGUGAAAUCUAUGGGCUCAACCCAUAGUCUGCACGGGAAACUGUCGGGCUUGAGAAUGGGAGAGGUGAGUGGAAUUUCCGGUGUAGCGGUGAAAUGCGUAGAUAUCGGAAGGAACACCUGUGGCGAGAGCGGCUCACUGGACCAUUUCUGACGCUGAUGCACGAAAGCUAGGGGAGCAAACAGGAUUAGAUACCCCCGUAGUCCCUGUCUCUUAUACA
This 301-nucleotide ribosomal RNA is filed under the name uncultured bacterium. Its description in RNAcentral is "partial 16S ribosomal RNA". It matches the Rfam family "Bacterial small subunit ribosomal RNA", at positions 512 to 808 of the family's 1533-position model. The record is from RNAcentral.